GACGAACGCUGGCGGCGUGCUUAACACAUGCAAGUCGAACGGUAAGGCCCUUCGGGGUACACGAGUGGCGAACGGGUGAGUAACACGUGGGUGAUCUGCCCUGCACUUCGGGAGAAGCCGGGGAAACUGGGUCUAAUACCGGAGAGGACCACUGCCUGCAGGGGUGGUGGUGGAAAGAUUUUGCGGUGUGGGAUGGGCCCGCGGCCUAUCAGCUUGUUGGUGGGGUGAUGGCCUACCAAGGCGACGACGGGUAGCCGGCCUGAGAGGGUGAUCGGCCACACUGGGACUGAGAUACGGCCCAGACUCCUACGGGAGGCAGCAGUGGGGAAUAUUGCACAAUGGGCGCAAGCCUGAUGCAGCGACGCCGCGUAAGGGAUGACGGCCUUCGGGUUGUAAACCUCUUUCAGCACCGACGAAGCGCAAGUGACGGUAGGUGCAGAAGAAGGACCGGCCAACUACGUGCCAGCAGCCGCCGUAA
Molecule: ribosomal RNA, 478 nt
Filed under: uncultured bacterium
Lineage: Bacteria
Description: partial 16S ribosomal RNA
Rfam family: Bacterial small subunit ribosomal RNA
Source: RNAcentral